UACGUAGGGGGCGAGCGUUGUCCGGAUUCAUUGGGCGUAAAGAGCUCGUAGGUGGUUCGGUAAGUCGGAUGUGAAAUCUCCAGGCUCAACCUGGAGGGGUCAUUCGAUACUGCCGUGACUAGAGGUCGGUAGGGGAGUGUGGAAUUCCUGGUGGAGCGGUGAAAUGCGCAGAUAUCAGGAGGAACACCGGUGGCGAUGGCGGGUCUCUGGGCAGUAACUGACGCUGAGGAGCGAAAGCGUGGGGAGCGAACAGG
RNAcentral lists this ribosomal RNA (254 nucleotides) under uncultured bacterium. RNAcentral describes it as "partial 16S ribosomal RNA". It matches the Rfam family "Bacterial small subunit ribosomal RNA", at positions 524 to 776 of the family's 1533-position model. The record is from RNAcentral.